GCCGCUAUCGUCUAACGGUUAGGACAUAGGAUUCUCAAUCCUACAAUUGGAGUUCGAUUCUCCAUAGCGGUA
Molecule: transfer RNA, 72 nt
Filed under: bacterium
Lineage: Bacteria
Description: tRNA-Glu
Rfam family: tRNA
About the family: Transfer RNA (tRNA) molecules are approximately 80 nucleotides in length. Their secondary structure includes four short double-helical elements and three loops (D, anti-codon, and T loops). Further hydrogen bonds mediate the characteristic L-shaped molecular structure. tRNAs have two regions of fundamental functional importance: the anti-codon, which is responsible for specific mRNA codon recognition, and the 3' end, to which the tRNAs corresponding amino acid is attached (by aminoacyl-tRNA synthetases). tRNAs cope with the degeneracy of the genetic code in two manners: having more than one tRNA (with a specific anti-codon) for a particular amino acid; and 'wobble' base-pairing, i.e. permitting non-standard base-pairing at the 3rd anti-codon position.
Source: RNAcentral